GGUGAUUGUGGAGACCAAUUUAUGUAAUCUAAAGAAAAAAUGUUUGGCACAGGCAGUCUGCUGAUGGUCUGUGGCAAGAAGUACGAAAGAUUCACCCAAAUCCACCUUCCGUUCUGGGCACACAGCUGGACCACAUUUCCCUGCCUCCCUUGUAGUUAGAAGGAGGUGACUCCCAGAGCAACCCUGGAAAUGUGUUGAAGAUGGCAGUGCCUCCAUCAGCUUGGGCUGCCUGAAGGACCGUUCUGUCCACCUGUUCACUUGCUCAGUAUGUUUUGUGAGCAAGAAAUAAACUUGUA
Phyllostomus hastatus (greater spear-nosed bat) is the source of this 296-nucleotide long non-coding RNA. RefSeq lists it as uncharacterized. The transcript is spliced from 3 exons. The record is from RefSeq and is a predicted model, not a curated record. NCBI's taxonomy places the organism in Eukaryota, Metazoa, Chordata, Mammalia, Chiroptera, Phyllostomidae.